Molecule: long non-coding RNA, 864 nt
Filed under: Homo sapiens (human)
Lineage: Eukaryota; Metazoa; Chordata; Mammalia; Primates; Hominidae
Description: HSALNT0315991
Source: RNAcentral
GAAAAGAAAACUGAAUAAUACUCUAUUUUUCUACAAUGAAUCUAGAAGAAAAAGAAAAGACCAAAUAUAGGAUUACUUGAAUGAGACAAAAAAGAUGGAAUUUGGAGGACAAGACAAGAGAUACUAAGAAGAGUAAACCCAAUAAACAGACUGCAGCACAGAAAGGGUCCAGGACCAGGGAGGUGGCUUGUUCAGGAAAGAGUUAACUCAACAGGUCUGGGAUAUUCAAAUCCCACACAUUUCGAAAAAAAGUUCUCUCCUCAUUGGCUCCUGGGAGAAAAUCUCUACGUCUUUGGACUAUUCUUCCAGAUUGGAGACUGAAAAGAAGAGAAGUUAAGGAACUUGUCUAAGAUUAUCAAGCAAAAAUUUAAAGCUGAAGUUUCAAUAUUUUCUCAGAAAACAAGAAAAGUUAGUGAUCUCAUUAUAGAAGGACUAAAAGCCUGCAAAGUAUAUUUUUGUUAACUCCAAAGGACAGACUUUCAGGGCAGUUUACCAGGAGACAGCUUUUACAAUGAGUGCACUGGCAAGAGGAAGGAAAAAGCCAUUUUUGCUGCUUCAUGUGUUGCCUACACAGAGACUGUUACAGUGGCUUCAGCAGAGUCAGUGGUUGUGUCAACAGCAUCUGGAGCAGAGAGGGCAAGCUUAGUUCAUAUGAAGCAGCAAUAGCAACAGAAGAAAAGGCAGUGACAUCACCCUCAGCUUGUUGGAGAAAAGCAAGAGUGGACUAACAUACAUCCUGUGCCUGGAAAAGCCACAGACACUCAAUGCCAGCCUGGGAGAGCAGCUGUGGUGGCUGAACCCUGAAAAAUCACAGGACUAGAGCUGCCCAAGCCUUUGGGAGCCUACCUCUUGCAUUGGUGUGCC